UUUCGAAUCAUUCACAAUGGGCGAAAGCCUGAUGGUGCGACGCCGCGUGAGGGAUGAAGGUCUUCGGAUUGUAAACCUCUGUCACUGGGGAGAAAACGCUUUGAGUUAAUAGUUCAAAGCCUGAUUUAACCCGGAGAGGAAGCAGUGGCUAACUCUGUGCCAGCAGCCGCGGUAAUACAGAGACUGCAAGCGUUAUUCGGAUUCACUGGGCGUAAAGGGUGCGCAGGCGGCCAAGUGUGUCAGAUGUGAAAUCCCGAGGCUUAACCUCGGAACUGCGUCUGAAACUACUUGGCUAGAGUAUUGGAGAGGGUAACGGAAUUCACGGUGUAGCAGUGAAAUGCGUAGAUAUCGUGAGGAACACCAGAGGCGAAGGCGGUUACCUGGACAAUUACUGACGCUC
Molecule: ribosomal RNA, 400 nt
Filed under: uncultured bacterium
Lineage: Bacteria
Description: bacterial SSU rRNA
Rfam family: Bacterial small subunit ribosomal RNA
Source: RNAcentral